GACAGAUUCAUACAUGACAAUAGCUGACAGACUUUUGUGCAGACAGAUGGCAACCGGCAAGGCCACUACCCUGUACUCUGGCUCCAACCUCCAGCCCCAACAGCAUCAAUACAAGGAUUGCCUUCUCCUUGAACAGACCAAUGUUCUGAACAAAGAAACACCUUUCGCUAUUCCUGCCUUAUCCUGCCUGAUCAGGUUUGGGAUCUGCUUGCAGCACAUCCAACUGUCUCACCAGGAAUAACAAGCCUCAGAGCGCCUCAAAAGCUUCCAAGUGAUCUGCAUCAACCAGAGAUAAUUGUCUGAAACAAAACAAAAUAAUGAAGAGGUAUAUUCAGGCUAUUACAAUUCGCAGAGAGCAAUCACAAGGCCUUUUCUUGAAAAGAGGUGCAAUAAAUUGAUCUACAUCAAAACAGCAAAGCCCCAAGAGCACAAAGAGAACUAGAUUUCAGGAAUGGCAUGAAGAGUUCCGUUUAUCAAAUAUUUCUUGUGUCCCUACAGUGUGUCUAAUACUCUAUUAAGUGGAAUAUAUAUAAAAGUUACCACAUCAUCUCCUUUCAAAAGGGGGCAAGAGUCUACAAUGAAAUUCCUUUGUUUGAUUUCCUCUGUUCCUGAUUCCUGGCCUCCUCUCUCAU
Long non-coding RNA from Piliocolobus tephrosceles (Ugandan red Colobus), 632 nucleotides. RefSeq lists it as uncharacterized. The record is from RefSeq and is a predicted model, not a curated record. Lineage: Eukaryota; Metazoa; Chordata; Mammalia; Primates; Cercopithecidae. The transcript is spliced from 4 exons.